UGAGGAAUAUUGGUCAAUGGGCGGGAGCCUGAACCAGCCAAGCCGCGUGAGGGAGGAAGGCCCUAUGGGUCGUAAACCUCUUUUGUCAGGGAACAAAAGCGAGUAUGUAUACUAGUCAGAGUGUACCUGAAGAAAAAGCAUCGGCUAACUCCGUGCCAGCAGCCGCGGUAAUACGAAGGAUGCGAGCGUUAUCCGGAUUUAUUGGGUUUAAAGGGUGCGUAGGCGGCGGUGCAAGUCAGCGGUAAAAGCCCGGGGCUCAACCCCGGCGAGCCGUUGAAACUGCAGUGCUAGAGAAGGCGAGAGGUACGCGGAAUGCGCAGUGUAGCGGUGAAAUGCUUAGAUAUUGCGCAGAACUCCGAUUGCGAAGGCAGCGUACUGGCGCCUGACUGACGCUGAGGCGCGAAAGCGUGGGGAUCGAACAGAUAGAUACC
Molecule: ribosomal RNA, 431 nt
Filed under: uncultured bacterium
Lineage: Bacteria
Description: bacterial SSU rRNA
Rfam family: Bacterial small subunit ribosomal RNA
Source: RNAcentral